GCUCAGGUAGUGUAAUUGGUUAGCACGUCACACUUCUAUUCUUCUUUGUGUGCGAUCCUUCUAUUCUUUUUCCUCCUCCUCUCGUUUUGAGUUUGGUUGUGUGAAGGUUCAGGUUCGAAUCCUGACAGUGAGCG
Molecule: transfer RNA, 134 nt
Filed under: Candidatus Competibacteraceae bacterium
Lineage: Bacteria; Pseudomonadati; Pseudomonadota; Gammaproteobacteria; Candidatus Competibacteraceae
Description: tRNA-OTHER
Rfam family: tRNA
About the family: Transfer RNA (tRNA) molecules are approximately 80 nucleotides in length. Their secondary structure includes four short double-helical elements and three loops (D, anti-codon, and T loops). Further hydrogen bonds mediate the characteristic L-shaped molecular structure. tRNAs have two regions of fundamental functional importance: the anti-codon, which is responsible for specific mRNA codon recognition, and the 3' end, to which the tRNAs corresponding amino acid is attached (by aminoacyl-tRNA synthetases). tRNAs cope with the degeneracy of the genetic code in two manners: having more than one tRNA (with a specific anti-codon) for a particular amino acid; and 'wobble' base-pairing, i.e. permitting non-standard base-pairing at the 3rd anti-codon position.
Source: RNAcentral